GAUGAAGAACGUAGCGAAAUGCGAUACGUAAUGUGAAUUGCAGAAUUCAGUGAAUCAUCGAAUCUUUGAACGCACAUUGCGCCUGCCAGCACUCUGGCAGGCAUGCCUGUUCGAGCGUCAUUUCAACCAUCAAGCCCUAGGCUUGCGUUGGAGCCCUGCGGCUGCCGCAGGCCCCUAAAAGCAGUGGCGGGCUCGCUAUCACACCGAGUGCAGUAGAUUACUCUUCGCUCAGGGCGUGUCGCGGGUUCCAGCCGUGAAACCCCCUACUUCUCAAGGUUGACCUCGGAUCAGGUAGGAAUACCCGCUGAACUUAAGCAUAUCAAUAAGCGGAGGA
This 334-nucleotide unclassified non-coding RNA is filed under the name soil metagenome. RNAcentral's name for it is "partial contains 5.8S ribosomal RNA, internal transcribed spacer 2, and large subunit ribosomal RNA". The stretch from base 1 to 120 matches the Rfam family "5.8S ribosomal RNA", at positions 35 to 154 of the family's 154-position model. The record is from RNAcentral.